Molecule: ribosomal RNA, 34 nt
Filed under: Basidiobolus meristosporus
Lineage: Eukaryota; Fungi; Basidiobolomycota; Basidiobolomycetes; Basidiobolales; Basidiobolaceae
Description: partial 18S ribosomal RNA
Source: RNAcentral
CUUCUGUAGGUGUGACCUGCGGAAGGAUCAUUAA